AACUACAAGUCCAGAGAGAGAGACAGUGAGAGAGAGAGAGAAAAGAGAAUUAACUUUAUCAAAUCCAGACCAACGAGAGAUGAGAAAAAAACGAAUUUCCAAAAGAUUAAGUCAGUAAAAUUAGUGGGGAAAUGAAAGGAAUAUGGUUUUGAUAUUUGGAAAGAAUAUCAGUCAUUACCAAAGGAGUGUACUAAUGGAUUGGUUGCACAUAGAGUAUGUUGGAAGGGUUUUAGUCCCUCCCCAUCGUUCUCAUACACUUUGUAGUACAUUAUAAUGCUACUUUCCAGAUUUCAAAUCCACGGUUCUAAUUUCCAUAAAUAGUUUUCAAAGGGAGGAGAUAAGCUGGAUGCAAAUAGCCAGGGUAGAUUGGAUGAAUGCAAGAAGCUCCAACACUGCUUAUUUCCACAUUAUUACAUUUGACUGUAGGAAGAAAAAUAUCAUUUGCAAUCUGGAACACAGGGAUGGAGAAGAUUCAGGGAUAAUUGAGCUCUAUAGCAAUCUUGUUGAGAAGGAUCCUCCUCAAAGGUAUACUUCCGAUAACCUUUUUAUUAACAUCAACACCAUCAAGACGAUGGCUUAAUCGAUCUAGUUGUCUUUAUAAUCGUAGCAAAUUAUUUGCAUGGUUUUAGAACAAACAACACCAAACUUCAGAGCUGAUGAUUCAUUUGAUUAUUUAAGGAUUCCACUUUCUUUAGUUAAGAAGAAAUAUAAUUUACAUGGUUUUAAUGGCGCUUAUAAAACAGUUGAUUACUUCAGAAUAGAAAGCAAGACAGCAAGAUGGUGAGCGUGUCAAAAUUGAUUUCGAAGAAGACUGCAUUUCCAUAUCGAUUGAGAUUGGAGAACUUCUAUAUUUAACUGUUGCUUGGGCUUCCAAAACCUUUUACGGAUUAUUAAUGGAAAACAAGGAGACCCAAUGUCUGGACAAUGCAUUCAAAAAAUAAUAAUUAUAAAAGAAAGGUCUGACUAAAAAAAUCUACCGUAAAAGCAGAUGCAGCGUAAAGACUACGUGAGAGAAAUGACAAUACCA
This 1027-nucleotide long non-coding RNA is filed under the name Cucumis sativus (cucumber). RNAcentral's name for it is "long non-coding RNA (CSAT_LNC000319)". The record is from RNAcentral. Lineage: Eukaryota; Viridiplantae; Streptophyta; Magnoliopsida; Cucurbitales; Cucurbitaceae.